This 228-nucleotide ribosomal RNA is filed under the name uncultured bacterium. RNAcentral describes it as "partial 16S ribosomal RNA". It matches the Rfam family "Bacterial small subunit ribosomal RNA", at positions 524 to 750 of the family's 1533-position model. The record is from RNAcentral.
UACGAAGGGGGCUAGCGUUGUUCGGAUUUACUGGGCGUAAAGCGCACGUAGGCGGAUUUUUAAGUCAGGGAUUGAAAUCCCGGGGCUCAACCCCGGAACUGCCUUUGAUACUGGAAGUCUUGAGUAUGGUAGAGGUGAGUGGAAUUCCGAGUGUAGAGGUGAAAUUCGUAGAUAUUCGGAGGAACACCAGUGGCGAAGGCGGCUCACUGGACCAUUACUGACGCUGAG